AUUGAACGCUGGCGGCAGGCCUAACACAUGCAAGUCGAGCGGAUGAAGGGAGCUUGCUCCUGGAUUCAGCGGCGGACGGGUGAGUAAUGCCUAGGAAUCUGCCUGGUAGUGGGGGAUAACGUCCGGAAACGGGCGCUAAUACCGCAUACGUCCUGAGGGAGAAAGUGGGGGAUCUUCGGACCUCACGCUAUCAGAUGAGCCUAGGUCGGAUUAGCUAGUUGGUGGGGUAAAGGCCUACCAAGGCGACGAUCCGUAACUGGUCUGAGAGGAUGAUCAGUCACACUGGAACUGAGACACGGUCCAGACUCCUACGGGAGGCAGCAGUGGGGAAUAUUGGACAAUGGGCGAAAGCCUGAUCCAGCCAUGCCGCGUGUGUGAAGAAGGUCUUCGGAUUGUAAAGCACUUUUAGUUGGGAGGAAGGGCAGUAAGUUAAUACCUUGCUGUCUUGACGUUACCAACAGAAUAAGCACCGGCUAACUUCGUG
Molecule: ribosomal RNA, 484 nt
Filed under: uncultured bacterium
Lineage: Bacteria
Description: partial 16S ribosomal RNA
Rfam family: Bacterial small subunit ribosomal RNA
Source: RNAcentral